GACGAACGCUGGCGGCGUGCUUAACACAUGCAAGUCGAACGGAACUCUUUGGAUCAAGACUUCGGUCAAGUGAGAUUGAGUUUAGUGGCGGACGGGUGAGUAACGCGUGAGGAACCUGCCUUUCAGAGGGGGACAACAGUUGGAAACGACUGCUAAUACCGCAUAACGCGUAUAGAUCGCAUGGUCUUUACGCCAAAGAUUUAUCGCUGAGAGAUGGCCUCGCGUCUGAUUAGCUAGUUGGUGAGGUAACGGCCCACCAAGGCGACGAUCAGUAGCCGGACUGAGAGGUUGACCGGCCACAUUGGGACUGAGAUACGGCCCAGACUCCUACGGGAGGCAGCAGUGGGGAAUAUUGCACAAUGGGCGAAAGCCUGAUGCAGCGACGCCGCGUGAGGGAGACGGUUUUCGGAUUGUAAACCUCUGUCCUUGGUGACGAAACUGACGGUAGCCAAGGACGGAAGCCACGGCUAACUACGUGCCAGCAGCCGCGGU
Molecule: ribosomal RNA, 492 nt
Filed under: uncultured bacterium
Lineage: Bacteria
Description: bacterial SSU rRNA
Rfam family: Bacterial small subunit ribosomal RNA
Source: RNAcentral